UUUUUUUUUUUGUAGCAAUGGAGCUCCAAAGAAGAAAGAAAGAAUAGUUCAUCCAAAAUAGAAAAGAAUGUCAAGAAACAGGGCAAAGAUACUAUAGUGUUGUUCCUCAGCUCGUCAUCUUCUGAUCCUCCUACAUGAUAACCCCCUCCUCGAAUUGAUCUCACAUCCGAGCGAAGGUCUACUCCAUCACCCCUUUGUAUGCAAGCUCCCACUUUACAUUCAUCUUCUUUCUUGGACUUCUUCUCUUUCUUAACACCGUUCCAAAAAAAUCAAGAACCCUAACCCUAAAAACUUCAGAAAUUCAUUGAAGAGGAAAGGGAAAGGUAUAGGUGCAGGGAGAUCUUACCAGAAAGAAGACCACCGGCGAUGGAGAGGGACGCCGGAGAAGGUCGUUGCCGCCCCCGAGCUCGCACCGUAUCGUUGCAGUGUCCAAUUCGCCUCCUGGUCGCUACUACAUGAAGAGGGAAAGGGGGAGUACUCCACGUACGAGAGAGGGGCGUGGCCCUCACCACCCGGUCGUCCCUCCAGCACCGUCGCCAUUGCUGCCGCCGCCUCCGCAAUCGUCGUCGGAGAGGAUGGUCUGGGUCUCUGGGAUGAGAGGAACGGUGUUGAGCAAGCCCACCCGCAGGUUGCUGAA
RNAcentral lists this long non-coding RNA (637 nucleotides) under Hordeum vulgare. RNAcentral describes it as "long non-coding RNA (HVUL_LNC013187)". The record is from RNAcentral. Lineage: Eukaryota; Viridiplantae; Streptophyta; Magnoliopsida; Poales; Poaceae.